Molecule: long non-coding RNA, 4154 nt
Organism: Motacilla alba alba
Lineage: Eukaryota; Metazoa; Chordata; Aves; Passeriformes; Motacillidae
Exons: 2
Source: RefSeq, a predicted model, not a curated record
CCUAAAACCCCCAAAUCCCCCUUCUGCCGCCACUCCUCCGCCGCGGCGGCACGGGCAGAGCCAGGGGCCGGGGCCCGGCCGGAGCCGGGGCUGCGAUGCCUCCCCGGCUGCCCGGCCGGCGCCAAGCAAAGGACACGCUUGUGCCAACGCUCCCGGCCCGGCAGCUCGGCUCCAGCCCGGGGAUCCCCGUCGGGCAUCGCGGGUACCUCCGGCAGCCAAAGAACCGAGACAGGCACCAGCGAGUGUGAUCACAGUGUGGGAGGUGAAGAAUAGCUGGUGUUUUACUGCAGGUUCCAGAGAAAAAUGCAAUUGUGACAAGCUCUGUUUUCAGCGGUGAUCAAGAAAUACAAGCUCAAGAGCAGAACCCCCUUGGACAAUGCUGCAAAGAGCAGCAUUGUCCAAGCAAUACCAGCCAUUGUGGGGAGGGAGAGGAGGGAAAAGAAAAAUGCCAUGCCUUUAUAAAUUGAAAAGCUUUUUUUCUCAAGGCUAAAACAAGAUUUCUGUUUAAGAUACUGGGAAAUCAGCCUCUAACCAGCACAGAGAACAAAGCUCCUUUAAGCACUGGUGAAACUGAGCCUACAGCCUUGUCUAAAAGGAGCCUGUGUUUCUUGCUCACAGCUCAAGUUCCCUGUUGCUGACUGUGCUCAGGGCUCCCCAGCCUCCCAGCUCCCUGCCCACCCCUGCUGCUGCCCCAGCAGGACACGGGGAAAAACCAUUUUUCCCCUCCCAUGGCUGCUGACAAAGGGCUGUGCCACAGGCGCUGUCUCAAGCCACGGGGGAAUGCCCUAACGGUGCACAGUCACGAGCUGAAACCUCUCCCUCAACCCUGUUACCCAUCACACCCCAGCCUCCAUCGCACCCUGUUCGCAGCCCCAGGCAGCCUCUCAGCCUCAAACCUGCUGCAUGAGCGGCUGCUGUGAGCAGCCCCCGGUCAGGCAUGGUCAGAGGGGACAGGAGCUCGGGAGGUGUAACCACAGUGGUGGGGCAGCACCGUGACUUGGAGCAGCUCACCAGCUACAGCCACUUCUAACACCCCUGUCAAACAGCUGCAGAGGAGGAGGCGAGACAGCAGCAGCCACAUCUCCAGAAUUCAUUCUCGGAACCACCGCAGGCAGCCGGUCUGGCCAGGAGAGCAGUGUCAGCCUGGAGCCUCAGGCACCCUUGGCAGGGGCCCCGUUUCAGAUCUGGGGCUGUGGGAUCAUAUUUGAAUGCCACCACCCCACCUUCUCUUUCAGCGCAGGGGCACGCAGCGCUCGCUGGGGACAGGAGAGUUCACGGCGAGCUGGGGAGCAGUCGAGAGGAGAGCAGGGAGCCCGGGAGUGUGGGGGCAGCACGGGAGAAACGCUGCCACGCACCUGCAGAGCACGGCCGACAGCAGCUGCCUCUCGCAGGAGCCCAGAGGAAGCUGUUACGCGCUGCUUGCAACCCGGACAUCACAGCUUGGCCUUUCUGAUAGAAUAUGGACUAGACAAGGGACUUUUCUCCCUUUAUAAAUAGCAACAGCAGAGUUAACUCAUGUUGAGGUGCACCAAGCCUUACUUCCUCAUCGACAUGCCUGGCUGAUCCUGGCAAAAAUCAGCAAAUUGUUACAGAAUGGCAGGAAGCAGCACUCUUUGGCAGAAUGCAUCUGGAAAUGCAGCCUUCCCUUGCAGGAAAAGCAUUAUAAGUAGUUUAAUGCUCUAAACAUGCAUUUAGGAUUCUUUUCCCUGAGAGAUGCCACUUAACAGGAAGACUUUUGCUACAAUUUCUUAGAAAACUGUACAGAACCCCAAAUGUGUUGAGUGACAACAUUUAUUAUUGCUUUAUAACUCUGCAAGAAAUGAGUAACCUACUACAGCAGUACAAAGCCUUAUAGAGGCACAAAGUUGUUUUAAAUUUGGUGUGGACAAACAUCGACUUUCCCUGUAAACACAGACUGAGUUGCUGUGGGUGUGAGCGGUGCUGCUGCAGCCUCCAGGGGAAGCCAAAGGCAAACACAGCUCCACAGAGAUAGCUGUGGGACAUGCAGUUCAUCCCAUGCCCCCUCUCCCAUUGCCCUUUGCAGAGGAACAAGUCUGUUAUCAGCCUUACCUGAUGAUUAAAUUCCUCAUUACUCACUGAGGCUGUAUCCCUGGAGAACACCACAGGAGAGAGCUGGGUGUUCUCAUGGUGCCCAGACAGAGCCCCCACGCUUCUGCCUCGUGCGGGAGCUCCCCAGGCUCCAUGGAAAACUCCUUUACCAGCUCCGAGCACACUGGGGCUGCAGCUGAGCCUCCCCUGCAUCUGCUAACUCAUGAAAGAGCCCCUGAGGUAAAGAGCCUGCAGCUGGCAGCAGCUCCUGGGGGAUGGGUUGGUUUUGCCCAGUAGCACUUCAAAAAAAAACUCCCACAACAAUGAACAAACAAAAAAUUAAUAAAGCCCUGUGUUUAUUCACAAUGAUCCUAAAAAUCUAAAAGCAAAUCCAAGGAGCUGUCCUUUUUGCUUAGGGCAGUUUGACUGGCUGGGGUCUUCCCAGUCACACAGAUUCACAAAAUUGGGCAUUGCACACAGAUUCAGAAAAUUCCAGCCCCAUGCCUAUAAACCUGGUACUGGAGAGCCCGUGCUGCUGUGAGAGUGCAGGCAGGGCAGUGCUGCCUGAGGGAAUUCAGCAGGAGCAGUUAUUUUCUUGUCGUGCCUCUUUUGGUAUGUGCAGAAGUGCAAAGCACCACUUAGAAACUCACCAGAGGCAAGGAAAUUUGCUCAACGUUAGUGUGAAAUGGUGAAGAAAUGAAGAGGGAGAAAAAAAUUCCGUUUGUAAAGGCAUAAGGGUAACUUAAUUCUUUGCCAUUUCCAUAGCACAGGUUACACUGUGCCACCCGCUUUUUCUCGUUCUUUCCAGAACUUGUAUCAGGCUGAGAAGACAGAGGCUGAACCCAGGCAAGAGGAGGAAUUGGUGGAGCAAUUCUGACUGCAUGGAACCUCCAAAGUGAGGUUUGUAACAGAAGCACUUCCACCAGAAGACAACUGCAACAGCCGAACUGAAACAGGAAGUUCAGGUAUAUAAACAGAAACUGCAGAAUUCCAGGCCAAGGCUUUAUCCAUUUGAACUGCUAUGGAUAUUUUCACAUGUGGGAGUGCAAAACCAGCUAAUGACACUGUUACAGGUCACUGUUACUGACACGGAGGUGUGAGCAGUUAAAGAGGGGACAACACACAGGGAACUUCUUGUUAUUUUCCAAAGGUGACUUCAUUGCAUCACUCCAAUAAGGACAGGUCAGCUGAAGUUCUCAUCCAGUAGAAUAUGAGAGAAAUCCCAGCUUUUGGAAGUACCUGUGCUUAUCCUUGCUCAUUUCCUUUUAAGUAAAACAUUAUUUCCAACUCAAUAUUCUGGACCUGCUUCAGUCCCAGGGUCUCUGAAGAAGGGUGGGUUUUUCUAUCUAAUAUUUUUCUGGCCGGUGACAUAGUGGGUGACAACAGAAGGCUGGGAUCCAUGUGAAAAGCCCUCUGCUAAUCCUGCUUUUUGCUUCAGCCCCUCCCUGCUGUGGCUGAGGGGCUCACCUCCCUGCACAGGCUGUCACCCGGGUGCCACCACACAGCUCCUCCACCCUGUGGCCGCAGUGUGACACAGACCUGUCCCAGCACCUGCAGCCAGGGCUGCCCUUGCCAAUCAACUCAGCAUCAGAGUCAUGAGCAAACACAGCACAGUAAAAAAGCCAUAAAUUUCUACAAUCAUUUUUAUUAGUUAUGGAAGAAUCCCCACUAGUAUUUACAUAGUGCAAAAAAGCUGUUAUUACUCCAAAAAGUACGGUAGACAGAACAGUUAUCCUUCAUACAGCAAAAAAGAAAUGGAACAAACCCCUUCAUAUUGUAUUUUAUAAUGGUUUUUCUACUGCUUCAACCUAAAUAUUACUAUAAAUUUUAAGACAUUAAAGAUUAAACAGCUUUCCUUAUUAGAAUCUAUUUAAAAAGUAAAUUAUAUGAACUAUUGAUGAACAUUUAGAACGUGGGCUGUGCCAACUGGGUUUCUACUUUCAGCAUUACCAUUCAUUGGUGAGGAAGUUUUGGGUUAGACAUUCUCAGGUUCCCGUGUGUGUGGCAGGGUGAACCCCGUUCCUGGUUUCUAUGGCUUGUUUCUGCUGGGUUUUGUUCUGUUAACAAACUGCCAUGUCUCAUUUUUAAAUGGCUGACACUGAAAU